This 437-nucleotide ribosomal RNA is filed under the name Myrmeleon fasciatus group sp. 193-MyspSb2. RNAcentral's name for it is "bacterial SSU rRNA". It matches the Rfam family "Eukaryotic small subunit ribosomal RNA", at positions 1028 to 1455 of the family's 1831-position model. Lineage: Eukaryota; Metazoa; Arthropoda; Insecta; Neuroptera; Myrmeleontidae. The record is from RNAcentral.
UAACCUAAACGAUGCCAGCUAGCGAUCCGCCAAAGUUCCUCCGAUGACUUGGUGGGCAGCUUCCGGGAAACCAAAGCAUUUGGGUUCCGGGGGAAGUAUGGUUGCAAAGCUGAAACUUAAAGGAAUUGACGGAAGGGCACCACCAGGAGUGGAGCCUGCGGCUUAAUUUGACUCAACACGGGAAACCUCACCAGGCCCGGACACCGGAAGGAUUGACAGAUUGAGAGCUCUUUCUUGAUUCGGUGGGUGGUGGUGCAUGGCCGUUCUUAGUUGGUGGAGCGAUUUGUCUGGUUAAUUCCGAUAACGAACGAGACUCUAGCCUACUAAAUAGACGUACUUUAUUACCGGCAUCUCAAGGCCCAUCGGCUGUAUUGUUACUGAAUGUUAUUUGUAUAUUUUGUUGAUAUAUAUUUAUAAAUAUGUAUGAUUUGGUAAUA